Molecule: long non-coding RNA, 13853 nt
Organism: Hypanus sabinus (Atlantic stingray)
Lineage: Eukaryota; Metazoa; Chordata; Chondrichthyes; Myliobatiformes; Dasyatidae
Exons: 3
Source: RefSeq, a predicted model, not a curated record
AAAGCUAGAAUGCCAGUGGCUCUGCUUAAUUAAGAAUGAGGAGAUUUUAUAUGUCACCAAAGAUUACUGCAAUAUUUAUAUAGAUGUACAGUGUUCUUGUCUGGUUGCAUCACUACCUACUAAUAAUCCCAUGAGGCUGCAGAGGCAGACGUAGCCAAUUUCUUCGUGCACUGUACCCUCCCUGCCGCAUCUUCAAGAUGUGGUGACUUCAGCUGGCAGCACCCAUCGAUAAGGACCUUCAUCAUCCAGGAAGUACCCUCCACAUAGUACUACAUCAGAAGCCUGAACACUUACUCUCAAUAUUUUAAGAACAGUUUCUUCGCUCUGCCAUCAGAUUUCAUGAACACAGACUCAUUAUAAGCCUUUUGCACUAUUUAUUUGUUUUGUAACUUAUUUUUGUCUUGUACUUUGCAGCAGCAAAACAACAAAUUUAAUGACAUGUCAGUGAUAAUUAACCUCUAUUCCUUUCUGAUAUCCAUAUAUUUUCAGCCUCCUCCACUGCUUAAGCCUGCACUCUUCCUUCAGUUUCAAGUUACUUUUCCUUCCCAAGAGUUGUCUUCUUGAAUUUCUAUGACAUUACUUCCAUGAACCCGACAUUCUAUCAUGGUCUUAUAACCAUAUAACAAUUAGUCCAUGCUGAAUGCUUACUCUCACCUAGUCUCACUGACCUGCACUCAGCCCAUAACCCUCCAUUCCUUUCCUGUCCAUAUACCUAUCCAAUUUUACUUUAAUUGACAAUAUUGAACCUGCCUCUACCACUUCUAUUGGAAGCUCAUUCCACACAGCUACCACUCUCUGAGUAAAGAAAUUCCCCCUCGUGUUACCCCUAAACUUUUGACCCCAAACUCUCAACUCAUGUCCUCUUGUUUGAAUCUCCCCCCACUCUAAAUGGAAAAAGCCUAUCCACGUCAACUCUAUCUAUCCCCCUCAUAAUUUUAAAUACCUCUAUCAAGUCCCCCCUCAACCUCCUAUGCUCCAAAGAAUAAAGACCUAACUUGUUCAGUCUCUCCCUGUAACUUAGGUACUGAAACCCAGGUAACGUUCUAGUAAAUCUUCUCUGUACUCUAUUUUGUUGACAUCUUUCCUAUAAUUCAGUGGCCAGAACUGUACACAAUACUCCAAAUUUGGUCUCACCAAUGCCUUGUACAAUUUUAACAUUACAUCCCAACUCUUAUACUCAAUGCUCUGAUUUAUAAAGGCCAGCACACCAAAAGCUUUCUUCACCACCCUAUCCACGAGAUUCCACCUUCAGGGAACUAUACACCAUUAUUCCUAGAUCACUCUGUUCUACUGCAUUCUUCAAUGCCCUACCAUUUACCAUGUACAUCCUAUUUUGAUUAGUCCUACCAAAAUGUAACUCCUCUCACUUAUCAGCAUUAAACUCCAUCUGCCAUCUUUCAGCCCACUCUUCUAACUGGCCUAAAUCUCUGCAAGCUUUGAAAACCUACUUCAUUAUCCACACACCACCUAUCUUGGUAUCAUCUGCAUACUUACUAAUCCAAUUUACCACCCCAUCAUCCAGAUCAUUAAUGUAUAUGACAAACAAUAUUGGACCCAGUACAGAUCCCUGAGGCACACCACUAGUUACUGACCUCCAAUCUGACAAACAGUUAUCCACCACUACUCUCUGGCAUCCUAAUCAGACCCUGACUAUCCAGAUAAUUAUAUAUACCAUCUCUACGAAUACUUUCCAUUAAUUUACCCACCACUGACGUCAAACUUACAGGCCUAUAAUUGCUAGGUUUCCUCUUAGAACCCUUUUUAAACAAUGGAACAACAUGAACAAUAUGCCAAUCCUCUGACACCAUCCCUGUUUCAAAUGACAUUUGAAAUAUUUCAAAUUUUCAAACCACCUCGGACAAAACUCAUAUUUUUUACAACCCAUCUUUUCCUUGUGCAAAGGAAGAUAUUGACUCUAAUUUUGAAGUUUCUAAACACAAAUUACUCCAAAAGUAUGGAAGCUUUAUUCAAGUGACUGGCCAUUGCAUUUUUGUAAUAGAGUAAUAAAUACUUGUAAUUCUUCGGUUCUUUGCGGGAAUGGGAUCUACUCUUGGGGGUCUCAUAACUAACUCUAUUUGAUAUGCCAAGGAUGCGAAUUGUUUGUUAUGUCUCCCCUCUUGGUGAAAUGGGGACACUUCUAUUUCCCUUAUUAGGGAGAGAGAGAGCCUGUGGUAUGUGGAAAUACGGGAUGAACGAGUAGUCUUUAGGAGACUGCAAGUCUGUCUUUAUUGAAUUGAUGCUUUGCUGCACGCUUGAGUGCUUGGUGAAGGGUGCUGAUUUUUUUGCUGUGGGGAGGUGUCACCUUGCUGCUUGCUGCUUAUGUGUAGGAGGGAGAGCUGGGGGAAGGCUUUGGGAUUGUAAUAUUUAACUGUCAUUCAUUCUUUGGGGCACUGCUCUGUUUUUGUGGAUGUUUGCGAUGAAAAAGAAUUUCAGGAUGUAUAUUGCAUACAUUUCUCUUACCUUAAAUGUACCUAUUGAAACCUAAUACAAGGAAGGCACUUUGCUCUAAAGAACCAUGCCUAAUUAAAUUUUAAAUAUCUACAAUGUUUUCUUUCUCCUGUAAACUUUAUGUACUGGCUUCUCAGAUCCCAUUCAAAGUUAUGAGAGAUUACUUUUAAAUAGCUGGACUUGUACAUUGUAUUGCUGGUGAAAGUUUAAAUAUAUUCUGAUUAAUUUUAGAUCAAGUGAAUUAUGAUUGCACUUUUGCAAGAGUAAUGAAUUAUUGUUGCUAAAAGCUGUAUAUGACAGAAGCAACAAUAAUAGAAACAUAGAAAACCAACAGUACAAUACAGGCCCUUCAGCUCACAAGGCUGUGCUGAACAUGUCCUUACAUUAAAACUACCUAGGCUUACCCAUAGCCCUCUAUUUUUCUAAGCUCCAUGUACCCAUCCAAGAGUCUCUUAAAAGACCCUAUUGUAUCAGCCUCCACCACCGUUGCUGGCAGCCCAUUCCACGCACCAACCACUCACUGCAUUUAAAAAAAAUCUUAACCCUGACAUCUCCUCUGUACCUACUUCCAAGCACCUUAAAACUGUGCCCUCCGGUGCCAGCCAUUUCAGCUCUGGGGAAAAGUCUCUGACUAUCUGCACGAUCAAUCAUCAUCUUCUACACCUCUAUCAGGUCACCUCUUAUCCUCCAUCGCUGCAAGGAAAAAAGGUCGAUUUCACUCAACCUAUUCUCAAAAGGUAUGCUCCCCAAUCCAGUCAAUAUCCUUGUAAAUCUCCUCUGCACCCUUUCUGUGGUUUCCACAUACUUCCUGUGGUAAGGUGAUCUUACAGGUCAUCUAUAUCAAUGAUCUGGAUGAUAAUGUGUUAAAUUGGAUCAGCAAAUUUGCUAAUGAUACAAAGAUUGGAGGUGUAGUGGACACUGAGGAAGGUUUUCAAAGCUUGCAGAGGGAUCUGGACCAGCUGGAAAAAUGGGCUGAAAAAUGACAGAUGGAGUUUAAUACAGACAAGUGUGAGGUAUUGCACUUUGGAAGGAAAAACCAAAUUCCCUAAAAGUGGCGUCACAGGUAGAAAGGGUAAUAAAGAGAGCUUUUGGUCUUUAUAAAUCAAAGUAUUGAGUAUAAGAAUUGGAAUGUUAUGGUGAGGUCGUGUAAGGCAUUGGUGAGGCCGAAUUUGGAGUAUUGUGUGCAGUUUUUGUCACCGAAUUACAAGAAGGAUAUCAAUAAGGUUGAAAGAGUGCAGAGAAGGUUUACAAGAAUGUUGCCGGGACUUCAGAAACUGAGUUACUGAGAAAGGUUGAAUAGGUUAGGACUUUAUUCCCUGGAGUGUAGAAGAAUGAGGGGAGAUUUGAUAGAGGUAUAUAAAAUUAUGAUGGGUAUAGGUAGAGUGAAUGCAAGCAGGCUUUUUCCACCGAGGCCAGGGGAGAAAAAAAACCAGAGGACAUAGGUAAGGUGAAGGGGGAAAAUUUUAAAGGGAGUAUUAGGGGGAGCUUCUUCACACAGAGAGUGGUGGGAGUGUGUAAUGAUCUGCCAGAUGAAGUUGUAAAUGCAGGCUCACUUUUAACAUUUAAGAAAAACUUGGACAGGUACAUGGAUGAGAGGUGUAUGGAGGGAUAUGGGCCAGUGGGAUUAGGCAGAGAAAUGGUUUGGCACAGCCAAGAAGGGCCAAAAGGCCUGUUUCUGUGCUGUAAUGUUCUAUGAUUAUAUGUUCUGUGGUUCGAAUGUGACCAGAACUGAGCACAGUACUCCAAGUAGGGUCUGCCCAGGGUUCUAUACAGCUGCAACAUUACCUCUUGGCUCCUAAACUCAAUCCCAUGAUUGAUGAAGGCCAAUGCACCUUAUGCUUUCUUAACCACAGAGUCAAUCUGCUUAUCAGCUUUGAGCGUCCUAUGGACUCGGACCUCAAGAUCCCUCUGAUCCUCCACGCUGCCAAGAGUCUUACCAUUAAUACUAUAUUCUGCCAUCAUAUUUGACCUACCAAAAUUAACCACCUCACACUUAUCUGGGUUGAACUCCAUUUGCCACUUCUCAGCCCAGCUUUGCAUCCUAUCAAUGUCCUGCUGUAACCCCCAACAGCCCUCCACACUAUCCAACCUUUGCGUCACCAGCAAAUUUACUAACCCAUCCCUUCACUUCCUCAUCCAGGUCAUUUAUAAAAAUCAUGAAGAGUAGGGGUACCAGAAGAAAUCCCUGAGGCACACCAGUGGUCACCGGUCUCCUGCAGAAUAUGACCAGUCUACAACCACUCUUUGCCUUUUGUGUGCAAGCCAGGUCUGGAUCCAGAAAGCAAUGCCCCUUUGGAUCCCAUGCCUCCUUACCUUCUCAAUAAGCCUUUCAUGGGUUACCUUAUUAAAUGCCUUGCGGAAAUCCAUAUACACUACAUCUACUGCUCUACCUUCAUAAAUAUGUUUAGUCACAUCCUCAAAAAAUUCAGUCAGGCUUGUAAGCCACACUGACUAUUCCUUAUCAUAUUAUGCCUCUCUAAAUAUUCAUAAAUCCUGCCUCUCAGGAUCUCCUCCAAUGACUUACCAACCACUGAAGUAAGACUCACUGGUCUAUAAUUUCCUGGGCUAUCUCUACUCCCUUUCUUGAAUAAGGGAACAACAUUUGCAACCUUCCAAUCCUCUGGAACCUCUCCCAUCCCCAUUGAUGAUGCAAAGAUCAUUGCCAGAGGCUCAGCAAUCUCUUCCCUCACCUCCCACAGUAGCCUGUGGUACAUCUCAUCUGGUCCUGGUGACGUAUCCAACUUGAUGCUUUACAAAUGCUCCAGCACAUCCUCUUUCUUAAUAUCUACAUGCUCAAGCUUUGCAGUCUAUUGCAAGACAUCCCUACAAUCUCCAAGAUCUUUUUCGUAGUGAAUACUGAAGCAAAGUAUUCAUUAAGUACCUCUGUUAUCUCCUCUGAUACCAUAAACACUUUUCCACUGUCUCACUUGAUUGGUCCUAUUCUCUCAAGUCUCAUCCUCUUGCUCUUCACAUAUUUUUAGAAUGCCUUGGGGUUUUCCUUAAUCUUGUCCACCAAGGCUUUCUCAUGGCCCCUCGGGGCUCUCCUGAUUUCAUUCUUAAGCUUCUUCCUGCUAGCCUUAUAACCUUCUGGAUCUCAAUCAUUACCUAGCCAUUUGAAUCUUUCAUAAGCUCUUCCGGAUUAACAACAGCCUUUGUACACCACAGUUCCUGUACCCUAACAUCUUUUCCCUAUCAUUGGAAUGUACCUAUGCAGAACUCCACACAAAUAUUCCCUGAACAUUUCUUCCGUACAUUUCCCUGAGAACAUCUGUUCCCAAUUGAUGUAUCUAAGUUCCUGCCUGAGCCUCAUAAUUCCCCUUACUCCAAUUAAACGUUUCCUUAACUUGUCGGUUCCUAUCCCUCUCCAAUGCUAUGGUAAAAGAGAUAGUGAUCAUAAUUCUAUCUCCAAAAUUCUCUCCUACUAAGAGAUCUGACACCUGACCAGGUUCAUUUCCCAAUACCAGAUCAAGUACAGCCUCUCUUGUAGGCUUAUCUAUAUAUUGUGUCAAGAAACCUUCCUGAACACACCUAACAAACUCCACCCCAUCUACACCGCUCGCUCUAGGGAGAUGCCAAUCGACAUCUGGGAAAUUAAAAUCUUUCACACAACAACCUUGUUAUUAUGACACCUUCCCAGAAUCUGUCCUCCUAUCUGCUCCUCGAAGGCCCUGUUACUAUUGGGUGGUCUAUAUAAAAAAAACAUCCAGUAGUGUUAUUGACCCCUUCCUGUUCCUACCUUCCACCCACAGAGACCCUGUAGACAAUCCCUCCGUAUUUUCCUCCUCUUCUGCAGCCGUGACACUAUCUUUGAUCAACAGGGUCAUGCCCCCAACUCUUUUGCCUCCCUCCCUGUACUUCCUGGAACAUCUAAAGCCUGGCAUUUGAAGUAACCAUUCCUGCCCCUGAGCCAUCCAAGUCUCUGUAAUGGCCACAACAUCAUAGCUCCAAGUAUUAAUCCACACUCUAAGCUCAUCCACUUUGUUCGUUAUACUCGUGCAUUAAAAUAGACAUCUGAAACCAUCGGUCUGAGUGUGUCCCUUCUCUAUCUAUCACCCUCUCACUCUGUUUCCAAGCUUUUUCUAUUUGUGAGCCAACCGCCUCUUCCUCCAUCUCUUCGGUUUGGUUCCCACCUCCCAGCAAUUCUUGUUUAAACUCUCCCCAAAAGCCUAAGCAAACUUCCCUGCCAGGAUAUUGGUCCCCCAGGAUUCAGGUGCAAACUGUCCUUUUUGUAUAGGUCACUGCUGCCUUUAAAAAAGAUAUCCCAAUCCCUCAACCAUGCAUUCAUACUCCACCUCACUCUAUUCCUGUACAUGCUCACUAUCAUGUGGAACAGGCAGUCAUCCCAAGAUGACUACUUUUGUGGUCCUGCUUCUCAACUUCCUUCCUAACUCCCUGUAGUCUGCUUUCAGGACCUCCUCCCUUUUCCUGCCUAUGUCUUUGGUACCAAUAUGUGCCACGACCUGAUGAAGGGUCUUGGCCCAAAACGUCGACAGUGCUUCACCUUAUAGAUGCUGCUUCGUGUGCUGUGUUCCACCAGCAUUUUGUGUGUGUAGUUUGAAUUUCCAGCAUCUGCAGAUUUCCUCGUGUGUGCCAUGACCUCUGGCUGUUCCACUUCCCACUUCAGGAUAUUGUGGACGCGAUCAGAAACAUCCCGGACGAUGGCGCCUGGGAGCACAGACAUAACAUCACAAAUGAAAAAUUUCAUGGCAUUUGGAAAGCUCCCAGGCGAUGCACAGGUCUCUGCUCAACAGACACUUAUGAGAAGUGACCUCAUCUUUAAUGAACAGAUAAUGGAAAAAUAGAAAAAGACUCCAUACAGCGAAAAAUGAAGAUCGCUGUCACAUAUAAAAAGAAUGAAUUCAUCUGUGUCAGAGUGAACAUAUGCUGCUUAACAGUGUACUAAUCGUGAAAGAAACAAAAAUCUAUCAUAAACCGAAAAAUGAAGGUAAUUGUUUCACGGGCCAUAUAACAAUUACAGCACAGGAACAGGCCACCUCAGCCCUUCUAGUCCGUGCCGAAUGCUUGCUCUCACCUAGUCCCAUCUACCUGCACUCAGCCCAUAACUCUCCAUUCCUUUCCUGUCCAUAUACCUACCCAAUUUUUUAAAAUGACAAAAUUGAACCAGCCUCUACCACUUCUAUUGGAAGCUCAUUCUACACAGCUACCACUCUCCGAGUAAAGAAGUUCCCCCUCGUGUUACCCCUAAACUUUUGCCCCCAAACUUUCAACUCAUGUCCUCUUGUUUGAAUCUCCCCCACUCUAAAUGGAAAAAGCCUAUCCACAUCAACUCUAUCCAUUCCCCUCAUAACUUUAAAUACCUCUAUCAAGUCCCCCCUCAACCUUCUACACUCCAAAGAAUAAAGACCUAACUUGUUCAACCUUUCUCUGUAACUUAGGUGCUGAAACCCAGGUAACAUUCUAGUAAAUCUCCUCUGUACUCUCUCUAUUUUGUUGACAUCUUUCCUAUAAUUCAGUGACCAGAACUGUACACAAUACUCCAAAUUUGGCCUCACCAAUGCCUUGUACAAUUUUAACAUUACAUCCCAACUCCUAUACUCAAUGAAAACACAAAAUGCUGGCAGAACUCAGCAGGCCAGUCAGCAUCUAUGCGAGGAGGAAGUGACGACGUUUCGGGCCUCAUUGCUCUGAUUUAUAAAGGCCAGCAUACCAAAAGCUUUUUUCACCACCCUAUCCACAUGAGAUUCCACCUUCAGGGAACUAUGCAACAUUAUUCCGAGAUCACUCUGUUCUACCGCAUUCUUCAAUGCCCUACCAUUUACCAUGUAUGUCCUAUUUGGAUUAUUCCUAUCAAAAUGUAGCACCUCAUACUUAUCAGCAUUAAACUCCAUCUGCUAUCUUUCAGCCCACUCUUUUAACUGGCCUAAAUCUCUCUGCAAGCUUUGAAAACCUACUUUAUUAUCCACAACGCCACCUACCUUAGUAUCAUCUGCAUACUUACUAAUCCAAUUUACCACCUCAUCAUCCAGAUCAUUAAUGUAUAUGACAAACAACAUUGGACCCAGUACAGAUCCCUGAGGCACACCACUAGUCACCAGCCUCCAACCUGACAGUUAUCCACCACUACUCUCUGGCAUCUCCCAUGUUGAAUCCAUUUCACUACUUUAACAAAAUUGUUAGAAGUUUUAUAUAAAACCACACCUCUUCCCGUCAUAGUUGCUGUGGCUGUUCGGAACUGACGACAGAUAAUAAACCAUUUGCAGCGCUGGAACCCAGUAGACAUGGUUGGGGAUGGUCAUUCAAUUCCAAUAGUCUUGAGGAUGCUGCUCCAUCAUGUCAGACUGUACUCUGACUGCGGACUUCAUUUUGUGAGCUUCACAUAAGUUGUACAGAAGCUGUACACUUAUAAGGCAUCUUCUAUUGAUGCAGAUACAGUAUUACAAAAUCUGAAAAAAAUCCAAAACACUAACAGCACCAAGCAUUACAAAUAAGGAAUGCUCAAUCUGUAUCUAAAAUUCUAAUAGUCAUAAAUGGUGUAGAGGGAAUGCAUGGUAGUUGUAUUUAAAAACAAGAGGCAUAGGUUUAAAUUGAGAUUGUAGGUCUUGAGGCUUUUGCAGCUCCUCCCAGUGGUAGACCUAGAAGCAGAAUCAGACUAUUAAGGCCGCCGUCUCCUCCGCCAUUCCAUCAUUAAUAUUCCUUUUGACUCCAUUCUGCAGCCCUCUUCCUAUAACCCUUGAUGGCCCUAAAUGGACGUCUUUGUAUUCUGAGACUGGCCUCCAGUCCCAGACUCUCCCACUGUAGGAAAUAUCCUUUCCACCCUCACUCUCUAGGCCUUUCAAUUUGUGUCAAUGAGAUCCUGCUCAUUCUUCUAAACUCCAGUGAGUACAUGCCCAGAGUCAUCAAACGCUCCUUACUCCUUAAUCCUUUCAAUCCUGUCAAUUUCCUUUGGAGUCUGGAACCUCUCCAAUUCCCACAUGUCCUUUCUUGCAUACAAAAUUGCACACAAUACUCAUCUCGUACUGUAUUUGGAGUAAUCACACCGGUAGUGUAACCUAGUGUAAGAAGGAGACAGACCUGUGCUUUAUCCAUUGCACUGUAACAACUGGUCCUAGCAGUUGUACAGGACUGAUCACCAGUUCUAUAACAAGAGCACAUCUAUAGAUGUGCGCGGAACUGGUCUGACGAGGUGCGCGAAGCAUCUGUUUGCAGGAAAGUUUAGAGCAUUUUCAUUCUGUCAGAUAGGGAAACAAAAAGUACGCUGUUAUUCUACACACCCAAUAUAAAAAUCCGGAGGAUUGAAAUUACUUACACACACACCUCAAAACGAUUACAACUGGAUGUCAACAUGAUACUUUACAAAAGGGCUAUGAUCGGCCCAUCUCAAAGACAAGUACACCAUAUCCUUGUUAUAUGCGUCCUCAUACAAUGCGAGUUAUGCGAGGAAUCUAUUUCUACCAAUGUCUCCUUAUAUACGUCCAAAACUCACAGUUAUGCGAGGAACACUGCUCUCCCGCCAAUACAAUGUUACGUGCGCACACCUCACAGUCUCAAUCCCGCCAGUCUCGCAUUGGUUUUGGCAAGGUGUGGAUGUGCGAUCUUGCGCUCUUAAACUUUGUUGUUGUUACCUACGGUGCAGUGAUUUUUUUUGUUGGAAAUAUUUAACUAUGCCUCCUAAGCAUCUGAUGUCAAGUCCUGGGCCAUCAGCCGAGUGGCAGAGAACCACUUUAACGCUUGAACAAAAGUUGGAAAUUAUAAACAGCGCAGCAUCAGCUCUGGGACGCUACUACCUGGGACAGAAUUUUGCCUUUAAAGUUCUUUUGUUGCCUGACAAUUCGCCAGCCCCUCCUAAACAUUUGGACAGCAUUCAUCCUAAUAUAACAGUGCGUUCGUUUCCUGCCGCCUAACACAACAACUCUGACUCAACCACUUGACCAAGACGUACUUAUUUUACGGCGAACUAUCUCUCAGGUGCCGCAAGCAACAGAUGCUUUUGAAAAUCCCAGGAGGUUACCAACGGUGAGGGAAUGGUGGAAGUCGGAACAGUUGGCACAAAUGGUGAUGGACACGGACCCAAGUUUAGAACGGACUCAGCAUUUCAGUCGUUCCCUGCCGUCAACCCUUCUUCCCUACAAGCAAAUUUAUGCUGAAAAACAAAAUGCUGCCAAGCAAACAACCCUCACCACUUUCUUCAAACCAGUGCCAGCAGUUCUAAGAGUUCUUUGAGUCUUCCUUCACCUCUUGCUGUGUUUGAUCUGAUCCUGAUGACCACAACCAUCCACCUUAUCCACGUAAAGCUGCCCGACACCACAACAACCACUCAUCUCCCGGAGCGAACACACCUGCCACUGUUGAUACACCGUAGAAAGCAUUCUUCUAGGGUGCAUCACAACCUGGUAUGGAAGUUGUUCUGUCCAAGACCGGAAAAAGCUGCAGAAGAUCGUGAACAUAGCCCAGCACAUCACAGAAACCAGUCUUCCAUCCUUGGACUCACUUUACACCGCACGCUGUCGGAGCAGUGCUACCAGGAUAAUCAAGGACAUGACCCACCCAGCCAACACAUUUUUUGUCCCUCUUCCCUGCAGGAGAAGGUUCAGGAGCUUGAAGAUUUGUGCGGCCAGAUUUGGGAACAGCUUCUUUCCAACUGAUAAGACUGCUGAAUGGAUCCUGACCCAGAUCUGGGUCGUACCUUCCAAAUAUCCGAACCUGACUUGCACUACCGUACUUUCCCUUUUCUAUUUUCUAAUUAUGAUUUGUAAUUUAAAUUUUUUUAUUAUAUUUACUUUGAUUUGUACUUAAGGGAGUGCAAAGCGCAGAAUCAAAUAUUGCUGUGAUGAUUGUACGCUCUAGUAUCAAUUGUUUGGUGACAUAAAGUAAAGUAAAACAUUACAUAUCCAUUAAACCUGCCUUUUCAUGAGCAUGCUGUACUUAGAGUGUUAACUUGAUGCUAAAAUCUCCUAAUCUUACUUAAAUCUGCUCCCACGAGUGGCCUUUGUACGGCUGGUAUCAGCACGCAGAUCAUCGGUUUCUAUUGUGGUGAGGUUAAUCUGGACAACGUCGCUUUAGGGAGAAGCAAAGAGUGCAGGACAAAAGCUGGCACUUCACAAUCUAUUAUAGAGAGAUUGAUUCUGUCUGCUUGAUGCAACCAGCUUUUAAAUAGUUCCUCCAUGCUCUCAAGUAGGGCCUUUUUCAUCAGAAUGUGCAAUAAACCAAAGGAGGAGUCUGUAGGUGAGCUGACAUGUUCAAAAGGCUGAUUUUUUUUUAAGAAGUAUGAUUUCAUUAAAAGACACCAAAGUGACCAAAGAGAACAGAACAGCAAAACACUGUACAGGUUGUUCAACCUAUGGUGUUGUACCAACCUUUUAACCUAAUCAAAGAUCAACCUUAAGCCAUAGGAGCAGAGUUAGGCCAUUUGGCAUGUCAAGUCUGUUCCAGCAUUCCAUUCCAGCUGAUUUAGUAUCCCUUUUCCAUCCCAUUCUGCUCCUUUCUCUCUGUAAUCUUGAUGCCCUUACUAGUUAAGAACUAAUCAACUUCCAUUUUAAAUAUACCCAAUAACUUGUCCUCCACAGCCCUCUGUGGCAAUGAAGUCCUCACAUUCACCACCCUCUGGCUAAUGAAAUUCUUCCUCAACCAUUUUAUAAAGGGACAUCCUUGCAUUCGAUGGAUAUGCCCUCUGGUUCUACACUCCUUCCCUCAUUGGCCUCCAUCUUUCUUUCAUCCAUAUGCCUGAGUCUUUUAAUUAUCCCUAAUGUAUCUGCCUCUAUCACCUCCAUUUAUCUGUCACCCAUUUUCCUAUCUAAGAGCCUGUUAAAUGAUAAUAAUGUAACUGCCUCUACCAUCAUCCCUGACAGCUCAUUCCAUGCACCUACCAUUCUCUGUGUGGGGGAAAAAACAUACCACUGAUAUCCCUCUAUACUUUCCUCCAAUCACUUUAUAAUAAUACCCUCUCAUAUUAGCAAUAUCCAUUCUGGGAGAAAAAGACUCUGGCUGUCAACUCUGUCUAUGCCCCUUAUAUAUUUUACACGUCUUUCAAGUCACCUUUGAUCCUACCACCAAGGAGGAGUAUUAUGAUCCCAUGCUACCUAGACAUACACAACGUGUGGCACUGUUAAUACUUGCAGCUAAAAGGUCUUGUCAGUAGUUUAUGAGGUGAGAGAUGUAUUUUGAAAAUGUCAAAAUACCAUUGGUGUUUUACAAUGAUUCCUGCAUAGCAGAAGUGUUCAAGAGCCUUCUUUCUGCCCCUUUUAACUUUGCAUUAGAUUGGCUGCCAUGGUAGCAUAGUGGUUAGCGUGGCACUGUUACAGUUCCGAGUUCCAAGUCCCACAGUGUCAUACAGUGGGUUUUCUCUGGGUUCUCCAGUUCCCUUCCAUAGUCCAAAUUGCUUCACAGAAAUUGUCCUGUGAUUGAGCGAGGGUCAUUCGAGGGAUGCUGGGAGGGUGCAUUUUGAAAGGGCGUAUUUUGCACAAUAAACAAUAUCCACAAUGAAGUAUGUCCACGACAAUAUCAGGAAACUUGCAAACUUCAGAAAAGGUUGAGAAACUUCUAAGCCUCCUCAGGAGAAUCAAGUCAAUUGCAUAAGCAACUCCAUCAUUUAAUCCUUAGCUGACAAUCGUGUGUAGUUGAAUCAUUGAAAGUUUAAUCUAUGUUCUAUGUCUGUAUAGCCAUCACUUUGACUCUUGUAUUUUUUUCUUUCUUUAAGAUUUGUAUGAAUUUAACAUAAGUCAUAACAUAUUAUUUAAUUGAAUCUAUCUUUUCUGAAUAUAUGGUCAAUUUUUACUAAAUGAAUUUAGGAUGGCCACCGUUAAUUAUGUGCUAACAUUUAUUAGACAUAAUAUUGAAUUCAAUCUUUAUCUACAGCUGAAUCGUUGAAAAUUCAAUUUACAUUUUUUGGUGGUCCAGACAUCGUUAGGCGGUUUUAUUUUUUUUCCCUUCUGCUUUCUUUUAGGAUCUGUAAGAGUUUAAUAUCAGUCGUAUCAUAUUAUUUGGUUAGAUAUUUCUUUUUUGAAUAUAUGAUCAAUGUUUAUUAAACAAAUUUAAGAUAGCCACUGUUAACUAUGUUUUAACCUCUGUUACACAUAACAUUAUAAUAUUUGGAAUUUCUCAAUUUUCUUUCUAUGUAUCUGAUGUUGUGUCUUGAGUCAGUGGUGUUAGUUUAAAACUUUUUUUUAAAAAGAGUCUGCCUUUUAGAGACAAAGGGAUUAGGGUCUUUAGUUUAGUCCACCUAUUGGAUGUAUUUUUUUCCGGCUUUGGGGGGGAGGGGAUGGGGCUAUUAGUUUAGGUUUUUUUGACUGGGCAGUCCUGAGAGGUUUUCUUGUCAAUCACAUUGGUUUUUUUCCUUUCUGAUUGAAUCCAUUUUGUUCCUCCCUGCAGGUUUGGUUUGUUUCAGCGCACUAAUUCAGUUUGUAAAUCCCUAAAUUAAAAUCUCAGUAUGGAUGUUAAUAAAAUUAAUA